Oncorhynchus masou masou (cherry salmon) is the source of this 1029-nucleotide long non-coding RNA. RefSeq lists it as uncharacterized. The transcript is spliced from 4 exons. The record is from RefSeq and is a predicted model, not a curated record. Lineage: Eukaryota; Metazoa; Chordata; Actinopteri; Salmoniformes; Salmonidae.
GAAGACUCUGUGACAUCAAAGAGGAGUUCUAUAGGAUUGCAGGUUUCCCCAAUGUCAUUGGUGCAGUGGACUGCACACACAAGGAUAAAAGCCCCCUCAGGUGCCCAUGAGGCCGAUUUUGUGAAUAGGAAAUCCUUUCACAGCAUUAAUGUUCAGAUGGUCUGCAAUGCUGACUGUGAUCAGCAAUGUUGUGGCAAAAUGGCCUGGCUCAGUCCAUGACUCCAGAAUCUUUCGGGCCUCUGAAAUCUAUCACAAGGUGAAUUCUCUGGUGUGUUGCUGGGAGACAGGGGGUAUGGCUGCCAGCCUUUUCUCCUGACACCUUUCACAGACCCCCAGGAAGCACAGCAGGCCUACAACCAUGCCCAUGCCAGGACCAGGGCCAGAGUUGAAAUGACCUUUGGCCUCCUGAAGGCACGCUUUCACUGCCUUCACAAAUUAAGGGUCAGCCCUGUUAGGGCAUGUGAUAUUACUGUGGCUUGUGCUGUCCUCCACAAUGUGGCCUGCCUGAGGAAGGAGAGGGCCCCCAGAGUGCCACCAGCCAUGGACUGGGACAAUCCGGCAAUCUUCCCUGAUGACGACAGUGGUCGGCUGCUGAGGGACCAAUAUGUGUUGAAUUAUUUUAGUUAGUAUGUGUGCUUUCAAUUUUGGUUAAAUAUGUCCUGCGGUGGCAGAGGAAUUUGGGUUUUUUUGGGUUCGUUUUUUGACGAAUUUGGCCUCUUAUGAUGUUUGUGCGGUAUACUGUGUGUAAUACAAGGCUGCAGGGAGGCUACUGCAUCCAUUCAUUUGUCUGUUCAGUUGAUGUGUAUGGAUUUGUCCUGCAUUUAUUUUAGUGUGCAGACAUGCAGGGUGUGUUAUAUACAGACCUUUGAAUGUGUAUAUCAUUUUGUAUAAUAUGCUUGGAUUCUGUGCUUUCCAUCUUGUAGAGUCACUGUGACUUCAGUUUCGAAAGGAGCUGAUGGUUUACCUGCUUUGUUUUGUCCUUAUUCAAUAAAGGAACAUAAUGUUACACAUUGUGUUUUUAUAUUCAUA